Molecule: ribosomal RNA, 328 nt
Filed under: uncultured Bacteroidota bacterium
Lineage: Bacteria; Pseudomonadati; Bacteroidota
Description: bacterial SSU rRNA
Rfam family: Bacterial small subunit ribosomal RNA
Source: RNAcentral
GAUGAACGCUAGCGACAGGCCUAACACAUGCAAGUCGAGGGGCAGCACAUGCGUAGCAAUACAAUGGUGGCGACCGGCGCACGGGUGAGUAACACGUAUGCAACCUGCCUGUAAGAGGGGAAUAACCCGGAGAAAUUCGGACUAAUACCGCAUAAUACCUCGAAGCUGCAUGGCUUUGAGGUUAAACAUUUAUGGCUUACAGAUGGGCAUGCGUAUGAUUAGCUAGUAGGUGAGGUAACGGCUCACCUAGGCAACGAUCAUUAGGGGUUCUGAGAGGAAGGUCCCCCACACUGGUACUGAGACACGGACCAGACUCCUACGGGUGCAG